This 200-nucleotide unclassified non-coding RNA is filed under the name uncultured Tremellomycetes. Its description in RNAcentral is "sequence contains ITS2". The record is from RNAcentral. Lineage: Eukaryota; Fungi; Basidiomycota; Tremellomycetes.
UUAAGUUCAGCGGGUAGUCCUACCUGAUUUGAGGCCAGAUGUUAUGAAUAUUAAUCCGAAGAUCAAUGGAUUAGAAAGCGGUCUUUAGUCUGCAACAGGGCCAUCCGAAGAUGUCCUUAGCGAAAUACUUAUUACGCCAAGUCAAACCAUGUCGCGAGACAGAUCCAGCUAUUACUUUUAAGACGAGCCGACUUAUCAUC